This 382-nucleotide ribosomal RNA is filed under the name Lycodichthys dearborni (Antarctic eel pout). Its description in RNAcentral is "partial 12S ribosomal RNA". It matches the Rfam family "Bacterial small subunit ribosomal RNA", at positions 547 to 1107 of the family's 1533-position model. The record is from RNAcentral. Lineage: Eukaryota; Metazoa; Chordata; Actinopteri; Perciformes; Zoarcidae.
GCCCGGCGUAAAGAGUGGUUAAGUUAGAAUUUUACUAAAGCCGAACAUCCUCACGGCUGUUAUACGCACCCGAGGAUAAGAAGCUCAACCACGAAGGUAGCUUUAUUUGUCUGAACCCACGAAAGCUACGGCACAAACUGGGAUUAGAUACCCCACUAUGCCUAGCCCUAAACAUUGAUAGUACCCCACACCCGCUAUCCGCCUGGGGACUACGAGCAGCAGCUUAAAACCCAAAGGACUUGGCGGUGCUUUAAACCCACCUAGAGGAGCCUGUUCUAGAACCGAUAGCCCCCGUUCAACCUCACCUUUCCUUGUUUUUCCCGCCUAUAUACCGCCGUCGUCAGCUUACCCUGUGAAGGUCUAAUAGUAAGCAAACUGGCUU